GACUUUCUUUUUUGGAUCUUGCUCCAAAGAGAUAAAUAAUUCAACAUCGAGGUCAUAAUCUUUUUCUUUUAUAAGAACUUUAAGAAAAAAUUGUGCUGUUAUCCCUACGGUAGCUUGAUUUAUUCCCAAUAAGGGGAUGAGAAAAGAAUGGGGAAAAAGAUUUGGUUUUUUACCGCCCCAGUUCAACAAAAGUAAAGUUCGAUAGGGUCUUGUCGUCCUUCUUUGAAAUACAAGUCUUUUUACUUGAAAGAAAAGUUAAAAUAGUUUGGGUAAUAAAGAAAUUUAUAUGUCAAACCUUUCAUUCUAGCCUUCAAUUAAAAGGCAAAUGAUUAUGCUACCUUAGCACAAGAAAUUUGCGGCUAUUGAAUAAUUCAUUGAGCAGGCCCUACUGAAUAUAAAACCAUUCAGAAAUGUUUUUGAUAAACAGACAAUAAAUGUGAAGGCCGAGUUCAUAAACCUAAAUAUAGCGUAUGUGGAAGAGGGUGUGUUAAUAGAAAUAGUUUAAGUAAAUUUUCUAAUAGAAUCAUUGUAAAAACUUUUAGAAAGGUUUCUUUUAAUAAAAUUUUCAUGGAUAAAACGAGGUGGUUUUUAAACUGGAAGACACUAUUAAUCCUAAAGUUUGAAAUAUUAUGAAAUGAAUAAUUUAUAAAAAGGAUUAUCCCUUUUUAAAUUUUAGUACUUUUACCUUCGAAGAGAACCAGAUAUAAUAGAAUGCGAGUGGAGUUUCAUCUCUAUGUUCACUUUGGAAAACUUUAUGAAACAAGCUUGAUAAGUAGAAAUAGAUCAUUUCAAUUUCGGGAGCAUUUAUUAAAAAGAGAGGAUUGACUUUCCCUGAUACUAAAGGUACAUUUCUUUUCUGUUUAACAAUUAUAAAGUUUUCCCCUCUCGGUUAAGUAGUGUAAGAAAGAAAAAUAUAAAGAAAAAAGUAUUUAUUUAAAUAAAUGCUUCAAGUAAGUAGU
RNAcentral lists this ribosomal RNA (959 nucleotides) under Aptostichus atomarius. RNAcentral's name for it is "partial 16S ribosomal RNA". Lineage: Eukaryota; Metazoa; Arthropoda; Arachnida; Araneae; Euctenizidae. The record is from RNAcentral.